RNAcentral lists this ribosomal RNA (460 nucleotides) under uncultured bacterium. RNAcentral describes it as "partial 16S ribosomal RNA". It matches the Rfam family "Bacterial small subunit ribosomal RNA", at positions 338 to 795 of the family's 1533-position model. The record is from RNAcentral.
CCUACGGGAGGCAGCAGUGAGGAAUAUUGGUCAAUGGCCGUAAGGCUGAACCAGCCAAGUCGCGUGAAGGAAGAAGGAUCUAUGGUUUGUAAACUUCGUUUAUAGGGGAAUAAAGGUAUCCACGUGUGGAUCUUUGCAUGUACCCUAUGAAUAAGCAUCGGCUAACUCCGUGCCAGCAGCCGCGGUAAUACGGUGGAUGCGAGCGUUAUCCGGAUUUAUUGGGCUUAAAGGGUGCGUAGGUUGUUUUUUAAGUCAGCGGUGAAAGUUUGUGGCUCAACCAUAAAAUUGCCGUUGAAACUGGAAGACUUGAGUGUGUUUGAGGUAGGCGGAAUGCGUGGUGUAGCGGUGAAAUGCAUAGAUAUCACGCAGAACUCCGAUUGCGAAGGGAGCUUACUAAGCCAUAACUGACACUGAAGCACGAAAGCGUGGGGAUCAAACAGGAUUAGAUACCCUUGUAGUC